Molecule: ribosomal RNA, 124 nt
Filed under: Periophthalmus magnuspinnatus
Lineage: Eukaryota; Metazoa; Chordata; Actinopteri; Gobiiformes; Gobiidae
Source: RNAcentral
GGCAACAAAACAUACCCGCUUGUCAAUGCCUGAUCUUGUCCGUUCUCUGAAGCUAAGAAGGGCUGGGCCUGGUUAGUGCCUGGAUGGUAAACCACAGGAAAAAAAACAGGCACAACUGUUGCUG